UUAAAGUCUUCGUUGUUAAUUGAGAAAUCUUAAAAGAAACUUUCAUGUUUGGUGAAGACAACAUACGGUAAAGUUGACAAUUCCUUUAAGGUUCUGUUUGGUCAUAUUGCACCGCAUGUAUUCAGGUUUUGAUACAUCCUUGACUUUCAUGUGCUUCGACUUAAAUGUUACAGAAGAAGAUUUAUCAAGAAGAAGAAAAACGCUACGGACCCGCGAUAUCUAUAAAAUGUAAUAUUCAGUUACUUGUAUUUAGUUGAUAGCACUACUGGCGUAGUAGUUCCUCGUAAUAUCAUCGGCUCAGUAUUCAGUCCUUUAGUAUUGAGAUGCAUGAUUUAUAACAUGAUAAAAUCUCCGUUGAUAAAAUAAGAAGUUAUAAAGAAACACCCAC
This 388-nucleotide long non-coding RNA is filed under the name Mytilus galloprovincialis (Mediterranean mussel). The record is from RNAcentral. Lineage: Eukaryota; Metazoa; Mollusca; Bivalvia; Mytilida; Mytilidae.